UAUUGGACAAUGGGCGCAAGCCUGAUCCAGCAAUACCGCGUGUGUGAAGAAGGCCUUAGGGUUGUAAAGCACUUUCAAUUGGGAGGAAAACCUGCCGGUCAAUACCCGGUAGCUUGACAUUACCUUUAGAAGAAGCACCGGCUAACUCCGUGCCAGCAGCCGCGGUAAUACGGAGGGUGCGAGCGUUAAUCGGAAUUACUGGGCGUAAAGCGUGCGUAGGCGGUUCGUUAAGUCAGAUGUGAAAGCCCUGGGCUCAACCUGGGAACUGCAUUUGAAACUGGCGGACUAGAGUUUAGUAGAGGGGAGUGGAAUUUCAGGUGUAGCGGUGAAAUGCGUAGAUAUUUGAAGGAACACCAGUGGCGAAGGCGACUCCCUGGACUAGAACUGACGCUGAAUGCGAGA
This 402-nucleotide ribosomal RNA is filed under the name uncultured bacterium. RNAcentral's name for it is "bacterial SSU rRNA". It matches the Rfam family "Bacterial small subunit ribosomal RNA", at positions 362 to 756 of the family's 1533-position model. The record is from RNAcentral.